This is an unclassified non-coding RNA of Neogale vison (American mink), 331 nucleotides long. Its record names the gene 7SK. It matches the Rfam family "7SK RNA". Rfam says of the family: 7SK was discovered as an abundant small nuclear RNA in the mid-70s but a possible function has only recently been suggested. Lineage: Eukaryota; Metazoa; Chordata; Mammalia; Carnivora; Mustelidae. The record is from Ensembl.
GGAUGUGAGGGCGAUCUGGCCGUGACAGCCGUCACCCCGUGGAUCACCAGGGUCGAUGCGGCUGAUCCAGCUGGCUGGUCGGGGCUCCCCUCCCACCCCUGCUGCUCCACGCGUCUCCCUCCCAAAGCUGCGUGCGGGGUCCAAGAGGACGACCUUCCCGGGUAGAGGAGGACCGUUCUUCGGUCAAGGGUAUAGGAGUAGCUGUGCUCCCCUGCCAGAACGUCCAAACAAGCUCUCAGGGUCCGUUUGCGGGAGAAUUUAGGGCCGUCAAGCUUCCACGACUCCAGACACAGCCAAAUGAGCCCCUGCAGGUGGUCGUCUGCCUUUCCAU